CUAGCUGUAAACGAUGGAUACUAGGCGUUGAGAGUAUCGACCCUCUCAGUGUCGUAGCUAACGCGUUAAGUAUCCCGCCUGGGGAGUACGCGCGCAAGCGUGAAACUCAAAGGAAUUGACGGGGGCCCGCACAAGCGGUGGAGUAUGUGGUUUAAUUCGAUGCAACGCGAAGAACCUUACCAGGGCUUGACAUGUCCGGAACCCUGCCCAAAGGCGGGGGUGCCUACGGGAACCGGACACAGGUGGUGC
Molecule: ribosomal RNA, 249 nt
Filed under: uncultured Chroococcidiopsis sp.
Lineage: Bacteria; Bacillati; Cyanobacteriota; Cyanophyceae; Chroococcidiopsidales; Chroococcidiopsidaceae
Description: partial 16S ribosomal RNA
Rfam family: Bacterial small subunit ribosomal RNA
Source: RNAcentral